This 120-nucleotide ribosomal RNA is filed under the name Triticum aestivum (bread wheat). RNAcentral describes it as "rRNA SSU_rRNA_eukarya". It matches the Rfam family "Bacterial small subunit ribosomal RNA", at positions 755 to 873 of the family's 1533-position model. Lineage: Eukaryota; Viridiplantae; Streptophyta; Magnoliopsida; Poales; Poaceae. The record is from RNAcentral.
GAAAGCUAGGGGAGCAUAUAGGAUUAGAGACCCCAGUAGUCCUAGCUGUAAACGAUGGAUACUAGCUUCUGUGCGACUCGACCCGUGCAAUGCUGUAGCUAACGCGUCAAGUAUCCCGCC